Macaca mulatta (Rhesus monkey) is the source of this 2532-nucleotide long non-coding RNA. RefSeq lists it as uncharacterized. NCBI's taxonomy places the organism in Eukaryota, Metazoa, Chordata, Mammalia, Primates, Cercopithecidae. The record is from RefSeq and is a predicted model, not a curated record.
CCCGACCCCUCCCCCUCCUGCGUCCCUGCCCCCAAGAGCCCCGGGGGUCCGCCAGCAGCGGGCGAAACGCGAGCCCGGCCCUGGCAAGUUUGCAGAGCGCGCUCGAAAGUAGCGUUGCGCGCGCAGACGAGGGGCGCUGAGAAGCACACAGCCCACGGCUGGGUGUCAGGAUCCGCGGCGCUUCUCAGGACCGAGGGAAGGAAGCCAGCCCAGGCGAUGCGCAUGCCUUGAGCCCGGGAGCGGGGAGCCUCUUCAUCUCUCCAUCUUCUCUUCGCGCGCUCCCAGCCGUCCUCGUCCGCUUACCAUACACCCCUCCAGAAAGGGCCACAUGCGUGCCAGGGACGCGAGCCCCGGCCACAGGGACCUAGCAGCCUAGAAGAGACGGGGUUUUGCCAUGUUGGCCAGGCAGGUCUUGAACUCCUGGCCUCAAGGAUUAGCACAGUUUUUAAUGCCACUUCCUUUUCUUCAGUCUGCUCACUGGCCUCAGAACUGUGCAUGAGUGACACCUGUGUGUAGCACAGGGGCUGCCAUACGGCCCCCACUGACACGGGCUCAGAACUUCACCAGCUUUAUGAAUGAUGCGUUUAAUCAUCGCAACUACUCUAUGAGGAAGACACUACCAUGACGACCAUUUUACAGAUGGGGAAACCGAGGCACAGUUUAGUUAACUGACUUGCUCAGGGUCAUGCACCUCGUAGCGGCAGAGCUGGAGUCAAACCUAGGCAGCCUGGCUCUUCAACCUGUGCACUGCCUUUCAUUAGAUGAGUACAAGAUCAGAGCUGAGAGACCUGUCAGGAAGCCAGGGUCAACUGUUAACCUCAAAUCAAAGCGGCUGUCAAAGGGAAAAUCCCAAACUGUGCUUGAAAUCAUGGCAGUGAUGCUCUCUCUCUGGCUGGUAUAUUCAUGGCUGCCUCGCUCCACUGGGGACUUCCUGGAGGUUCACCGUCCUCCCUUCCCUGCCCUCUAAUGGGUAGACACGUGACUGCACAGAACAGCAGCAGCAGGGAGGGCCGAAAGGACAGGCAGAGCUCACACAAGCUGUAAACUGUGUGUUCUUUAAAAUAUACUGUUAUAUUCUCUGGUGUGGAGAGCGGUGAAUCAUGUGGUUUGGAAGCUACUACUACACUACUAUUUCCUGAAAGAGCUUUCUAGCACGGCCUGUCACAGACACAGAUUUACAAGUAUGCCUCAGUCUCCCUCUGAGAACACAGACGAAUACUGAGCUUUAUUAGUUGGAAAAAUAUGCUAAGAUUCAACCAGACAAGAAUGUUUAAAAAAUUCUAUUAUUACGGUUAAACUUUUAUAAACAAAUGUUAGAGUUAAUUUAAAAACAUUUAUAUUUGGACAUGCAACCAUACUCAAGUGCCUUGUAACAUAUUAACUGGGCCGUUUUAGAUCAUUAUUAAUGUUCCAGACAAAAAGCUGCUCAUGCUCCCAGCAAGUGGCAGGUUAGCGCGACCCAUCACAUACCGUCCAUCUGCAUCUUCUUUGGCUGCAUUGAGGGGGAAGACAUAGAAGAAGUGACCCGGAAGUUUGCAGGGAGAGUCUCUGCUGACCCAGCAGCUAAGCCGCGAAUGUCCUUUGGUCUAAACUUUUUUCUCCAUGAAGGUGCUCUCCUAAAGCUUUUAUCAUCAUCCUGGUAAAUUAAACAACAAAAAACAAGAUUCAUUUUAAAAAAUAAACGUCAGAGAUGUAAAGUUAAAUGUCCUUUAAAAUGACUGCUGAACUCAAGAAUGUACGUAUUCUUGUUCACGUGUAUUUCAUCCCUUCUUGAUGACCACACAAUAUAUUGCCCAAACUGGAACUUCAGCGUGAAAUGGGGCAUGGUGAUGGUCCGGCUGGGCCUCAGCUGGCGAAGUGAGGUCGGUGCUGGGCCAUGGGGAUGUGCUCCUUCUCCCCAGCAUCGUGUUCUACUUCUUACCUUGCAGGAAUCACUUUCUUGCUACAUAAUACAUUUUUAUUUAUCUUAAAAAUAGUUUAUUUUUCAUUUAUAUUUAUUUUUUUACAGACAGAGUCUAGAUCUGUUGCCCAGGCUGGAAUGCAGUGGUGAGCUUAAACUCCUGGGCUCAAGCCAUCCUCCCACUGCAGCCUCCUAAGUAGCUGGCACUACAGGUAUGCCCCUGCCACGUGCAGCUCUACAAACAAUUUUUAAGCUAUAAACAAUUCUAUCUUAUGCCAGGAUACAGCCAACGAGUGCUUCAUCUUUAGAGGUGGCCUUCUAUUCUCUGUCAAACUCAAGUUUAUUCUUAAGGUCCAAUUAAGAGACUCCUAAUAGUGUGAAACAAAUGAGUCAUGGUUUGAAGGGGAAAUUAACAUUUUGUGUUUUUAAUAUACUUCUGAAACAUGCCACCCCACCAAUGCACAGGAUUAUGGGGGGUAUACUCUGGACUGGGGUAGGAUACCUAGUGGUCCCUAAAACCCAACUUACAGACUCUAUUCCUAAGCUGCAACCAAUGUUUUAUGAUGUGAAAACCAUUUUUGAGGGAUGUCAAAAAUUAAAUAGCAAAAAUAACAAAACUACCUUCUUGAAGG